GUGUGAUCGUUGAUCGUUCAUUCACGAAAAUUUUGUUGCUGCCUGUUGUCCAUUUGAGCCACUCAUUAUGGGUUCAAUGCUGUGUAAGAUAAUCUUUCUUCUACUUUGGGUAGGAGGCCAGUCUCAGCAAUUUAUCAAUCCGGCGUUCAUCAUUUCCCCGGAGAGUGAACGAUCCUUUGAAAAAUGGAGAAACGUAAUCAACCAGCAACUUCAGGAAACCGGGGCCACCUUUGAUUUAACGUCAACACUUCACAACAUUUUCGCCGCACUGAAAUCUUCUUCAUUCCCAACGGCGGUGGCUAAAAACAUCAGCCAACAAUGUUUACAAGACAGCCAGUUCUACGUUCAUAACCUCUACGCCAACCAGAGUCUCUGGUCCUUACAAAUGCAAGAGUCUUCAGCCAAACUUCCGCCGGGAUUGUUUGGAACCAACAAUAUUCACGCGGAUGGACUUUUCGACGAAUGUCUGGCCGUUCGGGCACCUGGAUUUGAUGGACAAUACUGCAUCGUCGCUUUUAAACCGACGGCCGUUGAUCCGUCCGAAAUUCUACCUACGGGAUCAUUCAGCGAUGAGGCUCAACGGGCCAACCUGAUCACCAUUUUUCAGCUUUUGGGAUUAUUGGGACCGGAUCGGGUCGACCCAAAAGUGUCCGUCGCAGAUGCCAACACUUACAUUUUACCCAGCACCACAUUCUGCCUGCCGUCAUCUUGCAGCGCUGCCGACCUUAGUCAAGCUGUCGCCGAGCUCAUUGGCAGUUACGUCAUCGCAAAUUAUUCUCUAGUCACCGUCACCGACGAGCAAUAUUGCUUUAAAGAAAGCAAUAAACCACCGACAUUUGAUGGCGCCACCAUCACCGUCAUUGUGGUGCUGAGUCUUGUCGGUCUUCUUGUUUUGAUGGCGACCGUUCACGAAGCCUGGCGAAUGUACCGCGGGACUGACUUCGAUGCCAAACAGGACGGAAAACUCUUGAGCGCAUUGCAUUGCUUUUCGAUCUUAAACAACGGCCGUAAAAUCCUGUCGAUGAAAGUGACAGCUUCAAGCGACAAUUUCGGCUGUAUUCACGGCAUCCGCUUCUUCUCAACUUGCUGGGUCGUCUUGGGUCACACUUUUUCGAUUGCUGCAGGCAAGAUCAUGAAUACGAAAAUGAUAACCGAGGAUUUCAGAACUUUGGGCAUGCAAACCAUUGGCAACGCCACCGUUUCGGUCGACACAUUUUUCCUGAUGAGCGGCUUACUGGUGUCGUUCCUCUUGCUCCGGGAGUUGGACCAUAACAAAGGCAAAUUCAACGUCGGCCUUUACUAUUUGCACCGAUAUCUGAGACUGACGAUCGUGUACGCCUUCAUCCUCGGUUUCAUCGCAACUCUGAUCGUUUACGUCGGUAUCGGUCCUUAUUGGUACGAUGUCAACAAGUUUUCAAACGCUUGUCGUAAUGCCUGGUGGCGACAGUUUCUCUACAUUAAUAAUUUGUUUCCGUUGGAUCCUGAGUAUGGGUGCAUGGGCCAAACGUGGUACCUGGCGGUGGACAUGCAACUCUUUUUCGUCUCUCCUCUCUUCAUUUAUCCACUGUGGCGAUGGAGGAAAUGGGGACUCGCCUGGCUGGCCGCUGUUGGACUCACUUGUCAAGCUGUCAUAUUUUACGUUUACGCUAGAGACGAUCUGCAUCCUACUGUUUGGACCACUCGCCUUGAUGGUUCGGCCACUUCUGUCGAUUAUUUCGAUCACUAUUACGUCAAACCAUGGACAAGAGCACCACCUUAUUUUGUGGGCAUCUUGGCAGGAUGGUUCUUGCACGUAACCAAACAGUCCCAGAGUCGAUUGGCCAAGCCUUUGGUGGUUUUGGGAUGGACAUUGUCCGCAGCGGUCGGAUUGGCGAUCGUCUACGGUUUAACGCCUUAUGUCGACCCGUCAAAAGUGCCAGAGAUCAGCACACUGCUCAAAAUGACUUACGGCCCUCUGCACAGAACGGCCUGGGCUUUUGUCAUAGCCUGGAUCAUCUUCGCCUGUUCUCGAGGCUAUGGAGGUUUCGUGAAUCGGCUGCUGUCAUGGAAAGGAUUCUUACCACUCGGCCGUAUGACUUAUUGCGUCUACCUGAUCCACUACGACUUCCUUGUGGUCUACUACUCUGCCAUGCGGAAACGGUUUUACUACACGCUGUUUGAGCAGUUCACAGUUUGUUUCGGCCUCCUCGUCGUGACUUUUGGAUUGGCGUUUCUGGUAUCCGUCACCCUAGAAGCAUCUUUCCUCAACUUGGAGAAACUUGUCUUCUCUUCCAAAUCCAAAAGUCAACCUCGUGAAGAAAUGACCGCUUCUCCCGCUGACGAGAAACUAAAUGCUGAGCGUAAAAAAAUCGAUGCGUGAAUAGGAUCUUUCAGAACCAAUUUCUUUGAUGGAAUAUUUCCAAUUUUCAUUCAAAAUUUCUGUCUAAAUUGAAAUAUUUGCAUUAAUAAGCUUACGUAACAUUUUAAAUUCAAAUUUGUGAACUGAAUCUUGCUAAUAUGAAAAAAAUUUUCGUUCAAUCGGGGGUCUAUGAGUCUUUGCUGACGAAUGAUCUUGUCCUAGUCGCUCCGUCUAGCUCACCUUUUUUCACUGUGGGCUGGAUUUGGAUGCUAGUUUAUUAUCGUGCUGGUUGCAGGAGGACCAACCCAACGAUUGAUGAAUCCUUGGUUGGGAAUUGCACAGGACAGUGAAAGAAAUUGGGACAAGUUGGUGAACACAUUCAAGAGCAUUUAAGAAAUUUCCGUCACACUCAAAUGUUCAUCGUUUCCCCCACCACUGUGGGCCACAAAUCUACCGACAGUCAAGUCUACGUUCGCAACCUCUACGCCAACACCGGACUCUUUGGGCCUUUCAAACGUGAUGUAUGAAGAUAUUAACAGGUUAUCCCCUCUUGGCUUCCAAUAGAGUCCCAGGGUCUUGUUGUGGCGGUUCCCCUAGCUGUCCUCGUGUUAACCCGUGUGAGUGUGGAUGUACGUAUUUCCCAGGCUUAUUAAAG
RNA transcript from Daphnia pulex (common water flea), 2993 nucleotides. It is a transcript of the gene named nose resistant to fluoxetine protein 6-like, with no coding region annotated. Lineage: Eukaryota; Metazoa; Arthropoda; Branchiopoda; Diplostraca; Daphniidae. The record is from RefSeq and is a predicted model, not a curated record. The transcript has 11 exons.